AAAAACUUAGGUUAAACUAAACCAAGGGCCUUCAAAGCCCUAAACAGGAAAUAUAAUCCUAGUUUUUG
RNAcentral lists this transfer RNA (68 nucleotides) under Strophurus taenicauda. Its description in RNAcentral is "tRNA-Trp". It matches the Rfam family "tRNA". Rfam says of the family: Transfer RNA (tRNA) molecules are approximately 80 nucleotides in length. Their secondary structure includes four short double-helical elements and three loops (D, anti-codon, and T loops). Lineage: Eukaryota; Metazoa; Chordata; Lepidosauria; Squamata; Diplodactylidae. The record is from RNAcentral.